UCAAAUUCUAGUUCUGGAAGUAAGGGGAAAAUUCGUAGAUGAGUGAAAAAUAAAUAGCUUCAUAUGAUCUUUCUUUUAAGAGCCUAAAGACAUAGGGUGUUCUCCUCGCUGUCCCUCUGUUCUUUGUGAUGUAAUAUACUCUAUGCCUGUGUUGGAAUUGAUGAGAUUCAUUAAUUUAAGGGAUAGUUAUUAUCUACUUAAUUCAAGGGAUGAGUCCACCUUGUGGAGAAUCCCGUAAUAGUUAGAAGUCUUCCUUAUCUAUUUCUUGUAGUU
RNAcentral lists this unclassified non-coding RNA (273 nucleotides) under Hevea brasiliensis (rubber tree). The record is from RNAcentral. Lineage: Eukaryota; Viridiplantae; Streptophyta; Magnoliopsida; Malpighiales; Euphorbiaceae.